Molecule: small nucleolar RNA, 210 nt
Organism: Myxocyprinus asiaticus (Chinese sucker)
Lineage: Eukaryota; Metazoa; Chordata; Actinopteri; Cypriniformes; Catostomidae
Product: small nucleolar RNA SNORD17
Exons: 1
Source: RefSeq, a predicted model, not a curated record
GUGGCAUGAUGAACGUGUUUAUCCAUUCGCUGAGCGCCGCUGCUUCUGUCCCUUUGCGGCUCUGCGGUCCGUUCUGGGCUGUACGGUUACAGUUCCCUGAUUCUGCACAACUGGGCCAAUGUUCUAUUGGGUCUGCUGCUGUGGAGUCAGACGUGCUGGUGCGAGGGGUCAGAGCAGCCCUGACAAAGACGAAUGAACACUUCUGAUCAC